RNAcentral lists this ribosomal RNA (446 nucleotides) under uncultured bacterium. RNAcentral's name for it is "partial 16S ribosomal RNA". It matches the Rfam family "Bacterial small subunit ribosomal RNA", at positions 338 to 795 of the family's 1533-position model. The record is from RNAcentral.
CCUACGGGUGGCAGCAGUCGAGAAUCAUUCACAAUGGGGGAAACCCUGAUGGUGCGACGCCGCGUGGGGGAAUGAAGGUCUUCGGAUUGUAAACCCUUGUCAUGUGGGAGCAAAUUAAAAAGAUAGUACCACAAGAGGAAGAGACGGCUAACUCUGGGCCAGCAGCCGCGGUAAUACAGAGGUCUCAAGCGUUGUUCGGAAUCACUGGGCGUAAAGGGUGCGUAGGCGGUUUCGUAAGUCGUGUGUGAAAGGCGCGGGCUCAACCCGCGGACGGCACAUGAUACUGCGAGACUAGAGUAAUGGAGGGGGAACCGGAAUUCUCGGUGUAGCAGUGAAAUGCGUAGAUAUCGAGAGGAACACUCGUGGCGAAGGCGGGUUCCUGGACAUUAACUGACGCUGAGGCACGAAGGCCAGGGGAGCGAAAGGGAUUAGAUACCCGAGUAGUC